This 260-nucleotide ribosomal RNA is filed under the name Salmonella enterica. RNAcentral describes it as "partial 23S ribosomal RNA". It matches the Rfam family "Bacterial large subunit ribosomal RNA", at positions 1293 to 1556 of the family's 2925-position model. RNAcentral also lists the same sequence under 1 other name. The record is from RNAcentral. Lineage: Bacteria; Pseudomonadati; Pseudomonadota; Gammaproteobacteria; Enterobacterales; Enterobacteriaceae.
AAUGCUGACAUAAGUAACGAUAAAGCGGGUGAAAAGCCCGCUCGCCGGAAGACCAAGGGUUCCUGUCCAACGUUAAUCGGGGCAGGGUGAGUCGACCCCUAAGGCGAGGCCGAAAGGCGUAGUCGAUGGGAAACGGGUUAAUAUUCCCGUACUUGGUGUUACUGCGAAGGGGGGACGGAGAAGGCUAUGUUGGCCGGGCGACGGUUGUCCCGGUUUAAGCGUGUAGGUGUGUGUUCCAGGUAAAUCCGGUUCACUUUAAC